Zingiber officinale is the source of this 282-nucleotide long non-coding RNA. RefSeq lists it as uncharacterized. Lineage: Eukaryota; Viridiplantae; Streptophyta; Magnoliopsida; Zingiberales; Zingiberaceae. The record is from RefSeq and is a predicted model, not a curated record. The transcript is spliced from 2 exons.
AAAUUUCCAUGAGAUCGCACUAGGGUGAUGCUUACGUUUGGGUUGACUGUUUUCUGCAAUUGCUGUUGCUAAUUCAGAAGAAAUGCAGAGACAAUGAAAUGAAGCAGAAAAUUUUCAAUUGUAGAAGCAGAAAUGAAUUGCUGAAUCUGGGCAGUGCUGAAUUUGGACAGUAGGCAAACUCUGAGAAAUUAUUGCACUUGAACUACAAAUCCAGAAGCUAUAGAGGAAAGGAAAGGGCAAGGUGUUGAUGUCACUGUCGAUUUCAGAUGUUGCUGCUGUAAA